AUGACUUUCAUAUUCAUACGUCCUACAAAUAUGAAAAAAUAAAAAUAUAUACAUCAUGUUCCACAAGGUGGUCUUCGCUUCUUUCUUGCAGGUUGCACUCGACGACCUAUAGGUGGAGCCUCACUUGGUUCUUCAGUACGAUGCUUGUCUGGACUUUCGAUCGGACUGUCAUGCUCCUCGAUAUGAUGCUCGCCCGAACCCUAAGUCGGUCCCUCAUGCGACUCCAUACAAUACUCCAUUGGACCCUCCCUCAGUCCCUCAUACUCAGUCGCUGCAUACUCAAAAUGUGCUACAGUCUCCUCUGUGAACUGAAACUAGGUCAUAUCAUCAUGCAUAUACAUAGAUGAGCGCAUAUAUGAACUGAACGAUGAAAGAUUCGGAAUCAAAAAUGAUGAUGAACAAUAUCAUCUGGUACCUUCUCUAUGCAAUGCAGGUACUCCUGAUGAUGAGGGAUGCAUGAAAGGUAAAGGAGUGGACUCUACAGUGUCAUAGCCAUGAUCAUGGAUAUCGAUGGAGAUACGAGCAUGCUGUCGGACGGCGUGGAGGCCUGAAGUACAAAUAUCCUGGAUGAGCUAUCCGAAUGUGGCUAACGAGUCUUGACGAGCCAAACAAUGAAUCCUCGCCAGACUGUCACUCUGAUACAAACAACACGCUCAGCAGUAGGCAAAUAAACAUGUGUUAGUCAUAGAAAAUUACAGAUAAAAUAUGAAACCUGAC
This 717-nucleotide long non-coding RNA is filed under the name Elaeis guineensis (African oil palm). Its description in RNAcentral is "long non-coding RNA (EGUI_LNC049395)". Lineage: Eukaryota; Viridiplantae; Streptophyta; Magnoliopsida; Arecales; Arecaceae. The record is from RNAcentral.